UGUAUUUACCCGCUCUGAAUUCCACAGUCACUCGCCCCCUCGCGAAUUGUUGCGUAGUACAAACCCAAACUCUUAACUCUUAAGCUCGCAUGACUCGCCGAGACGCUAGCUACAAGACACUCGCAUUAAACUCGACUCUCGUUCAGCCUACAUUGGGUCAACUUAAACUGAGGUCAGAAAGGAGCAAGAUACUUUAGAGACACCCCGUACCUAUACAGAUGUUUAAGAGCUAAGCAACUACUCAGAGUGAGUGAGUUGAUGCGAGCCGCGUAUCACGAGAAGGAAGUUCAAUUUAACCCAAUAAAGGACAAUCAGAGACCGACGGCGACCAGAGACGAGUGCUCCUCUGCUCGCUAAACGGAUCAUCCAGAUCAGACUUCUCUUUCAGGACUUUUCAUUCCAGAAAGAGAAAGAAAUGGUCAAGCACUACGUAAGCUACGACAAAGGGAUACGUGCAAACUUUGAUCAUCUCCCGAAGACAACGUCCAGGUUCUGUAUUCCCACGUGGGAAAGGAUCCCACGGACGUAUGGAAAAAAAAAAACAGGGAUCCAUGACACUCUUGUACGGUAGUCAACUGGCGGCACGUCAACCAGGUAUUCAAGCACAGAGGAUGAAGCACCUAAGCACGACCCAAUCUCGAGAGUCCUCAGCAUCCUCUUCAUGUCUAAUCCCAAAAGAGAAUCUCUCACGAGCUCUUUAUACGCUUUACACUCUGCGUUGCUCACUUCAGGUAUUCUACAGGCUUGUUCAAAAACUUCACUGGAGCUCCUUCUGAUGUUGCUCGUUGGUCUUACGGAGUGUCCUGCGAAAAUGGAAAUGGCCAAUUUUCAGUUGCUACACCAGGCAGCAUCCCUUUUAUCUACUUUACUCAAUGGACCGUGCAAAUCUGUCGUAUGGACCAAGUGGAUCUCUCCUCCACUUUCCCACAAUAUGGGCAACCGGUUUAUAAAUUGUAGAUGGCGGUGCGUUCUCUUCAUUGAAAACGGGUGAAACGUGCAUCCAUGGACACUGUACUGGAAUAAGUAGUCGUUAUUUUGGUUAAGGUUGAGGUUAGGUUCAUCUUGGGCAGCAGCAACCUCAUAGGCAUUCGUCAGGCAAAUCGUUCCCUUUGAUUUGUCAAUGUGAAGACGUAGCUGGGACACUGAGAAGAAUGAGGUUGCUCAGCUACCAUUUUUUGGUCAGAUAGAUGUCUCUAGUGAUCGCUUAAGGGUGAGUUAGGGUGGAACGCAGAGGGCGAUAGGGCCUGGAAGAGGAGGGGUUGAUGGUUCAUUCAUGGUGUCGGUGGAAAAAGGGAAAAAUACGAGAUUAGCUCUGGGGCCUUCUAGUUCACCUUCGUGAAAGAGGGUGCAAGUGGGGUGGGUUUCGACAUUAGCGAUUACACGCCCCGGGGCUUCCAUACAUCGGGUGUCUCCGCGUGGAACUAAGCAGACAAAAUGGCCAUGCUCCAGCUCACUCCAGAUUCCGUUUCUCUUCCUGGCCCUCUCGGCUCAGAACGCUCAAGAGGAGGGAUUCAGAGCCGAACCCCUUGUCAGAAUUACG
This is a long non-coding RNA of Cephus cinctus (wheat stem sawfly), 1540 nucleotides long. RefSeq lists it as uncharacterized. Lineage: Eukaryota; Metazoa; Arthropoda; Insecta; Hymenoptera; Cephidae. The record is from RefSeq and is a predicted model, not a curated record. The transcript is spliced from 3 exons.